CCCUCCUGAAGAGAAGCAUCACCCCACUUCCUUCAGCCCCGCAAGCCAUCCAGAUGGAUCAGGGUGAUAAGUGGUGAGAAACGGCUUUGCAAUUUAGCCACAUAUGGAAAACACGCUUUGGAACAGGAAAAUGAGUUUGCGCUAACGACCUAGACGAGGAAAAAGAGUGACUCCAAAAACCCAAAGGACUAUGCUACAUGUAUUAUUUUUUGAAGAAGGAAGUUAAUAAAUCAUUCUUUCAUGUUAUAUAAACA
This 254-nucleotide long non-coding RNA is filed under the name Anser brachyrhynchus (Pink-footed goose). RNAcentral describes it as "lncRNA (ENSABRG00000010164.1)". Lineage: Eukaryota; Metazoa; Chordata; Aves; Anseriformes; Anatidae. The record is from RNAcentral.